AUAAAUUGAAAUUUUGUCUAAUUUGGCUUUAAUUUUGGAUUUUGUUCUUUGCUAUUCAAAAUUAUUAAGGGUAAUUUGGUCUUAACAAUCACCUAAGUUUUAUAUGAUCCGAUUCAAUCUAAACCGUUCAAUAAAAUUAAUUUCCUUCAAUCUAAACCGUUCAACAAAAAUAAGGAAUCUAUGUCGUUUUUAAAAUAAAAAUAUGAUCACAUUUUAUCCCUAAAAACAUUGUAUUCAAUCACGAAAUCAAUAAUCAAUAAUAUAUAAAUCAUAUAUUACGAUUCUUCACUAAUCACUAGAAAUUUAUAUUUAUAAGUUUAAAAUAUCAAAUUUAUUCAAAUAUUUAGUAUAAAAACCAAAUAAACCGAUCGUCUGCGGUAAACCGCGGGUUAAAACCUAGUAUAAUGUAUUUGAUCAGGCUAUAAUAGUU
RNAcentral lists this small RNA (430 nucleotides) under Arabidopsis thaliana (thale cress). Its description in RNAcentral is "ATSL049570". The record is from RNAcentral. Lineage: Eukaryota; Viridiplantae; Streptophyta; Magnoliopsida; Brassicales; Brassicaceae.